This 331-nucleotide unclassified non-coding RNA is filed under the name soil metagenome. RNAcentral's name for it is "partial contains 5.8S ribosomal RNA, internal transcribed spacer 2, and large subunit ribosomal RNA". The stretch from base 1 to 120 matches the Rfam family "5.8S ribosomal RNA", at positions 35 to 154 of the family's 154-position model. The record is from RNAcentral.
GAUGAAGAACGCAGCGAAAUGCGAUAAGUAAUGUGAAUUGCAGAAUUCAGUGAAUCAUCGAAUCUUUGAACGCACAUUGCGCCCCCUGGUAUUCCGGGGGGCAUGCCUCUUCGAGCGUCAUUUCACCACCCAAGCCUCGCUUGGUAUUGGGCAACGCGGUCCGCCGCGUGCCUCAAAUCGACCGGCUGGGUCUUCUGUCCCCUAAGCGUUGUGGAAACUAUUCGCUAAAGGGUGUUCGGGAGGCUACGCCGUAAAACAACCCCAUUUCUAAGGUUGACCUCGGAUCAGGUAGGGAUACCCGCUGAACUUAAGCAUAUCAAUAAGCGGAGGA